UCUGGAUCAGUGAUGUUAAUGUUUUUACUGCAUUAUCUAUCUGAAAUCCUGUUGAGGAUAGACUUACUUCCUGAGAUCCAGU
Coffea eugenioides is the source of this 82-nucleotide small nucleolar RNA. RefSeq annotates it as small nucleolar RNA snoR27. The record is from RefSeq and is a predicted model, not a curated record. The transcript has a single exon. NCBI's taxonomy places the organism in Eukaryota, Viridiplantae, Streptophyta, Magnoliopsida, Gentianales, Rubiaceae.